This 76-nucleotide transfer RNA is filed under the name Deinococcota bacterium. Its description in RNAcentral is "Deinococcus-Thermus bacterium tRNA-Trp". It matches the Rfam family "tRNA". From Rfam's summary of the family: Transfer RNA (tRNA) molecules are approximately 80 nucleotides in length. Their secondary structure includes four short double-helical elements and three loops (D, anti-codon, and T loops). The record is from RNAcentral. Lineage: Bacteria; Thermotogati; Deinococcota. RNAcentral also lists the same sequence under 1 other name.
GGGCGUAUAGCUCAGUCGGUAGAGCGGCGGUCUCCAAAACCGUAGGUCGGGGGUUCGAGUCCUCCUGCGCCCGCCA